UCGGGAAUUCUUUCCAUCCCGUUUUCUCUUUGAACUCCUAUCCAAGGAGAAGCCACAAGAGUCCCAAUCCCCUUAAGAAUCUAAAUCCUCGAAAAUGUAUCUAAAGUAUUUUUUUCUUAGUCUCCUUUUUACAGAUCGGAAGUUUUAUAUCUGAAACUGCUGUGUUUUCUUCAGUAAAGGCAUGUUUUCCUUGUCGCUGCAUUUUUUUCAGGUUGUGGUCUUCUUCCCGAAUGAUGCACUGCUAGGUGAUGCGUGGCUGAUUGAAGGCACCAAUUUCACAUCUGCUGGUAUGUAUGUCAUGCUUACGGAAUUGCUUUUAGUAUAACAACACAGUUUGCUGCCUUUAGCAUUGUCUUCAGCAUCUCUAGAAGGGUUGGUAUUGCUGUCAAGUACAUGCUGGUUUCUAUUUUCAUAUGUGCUAAACUGCUAAUUAAGAUCGUUCCAUCUCGUGAUUCCUGUGAUAUAGUUAAGUACAGGGUGAGUGGGCCUGCUUUCUAUUCUCAUGUUACAUGGUAAAUCCUUUUGAAUUUUGUCCGUGCCGCAGGUGGUCCAGCUCAGAUUAUUUCUUCUUAUCAUAUUUGUUCUUCUCAAGUUGAAGUUUCACUCACAAGAUGCAUUUGUUUUGUGAGUAGUGACAUACGUCACAACGCACCGACAUGCUCAGAGCAUCCAGAGUGUCCGCGCGUUCAGGCAAAGCGCGAGCGCUUUGGCAUCCAGAAUUCAGGAGGUGUCGGUCUGUGAUGUCACACAACCUUGGCCUUGGGGUCGUUGCCAGAGAUUUUUGUUGUGUGGAUCUGGUUUGAUUUCUUUUGACAGAUUGUUCGGUGAAUUAUCAAUUUACCAACCUGGCCAAGCUAAUGAAAAUGAUAUUGAUUGGGAAUACACAAAGCACAAGUAUCUGUAAGUGCCAUCUUUUCCUCUAUACCGGCUCAUAUAAAAAUUGAACCUUGUCGUUCCUUAUACUCUCAUGCAGCAUUGGCUAGCAUCUUAGAGUGGAGGUAUUUUCUACUUGGUAGCGACGGCCCACAUAGGCAAUCAGCCUAGAUGUAAUAGAUGGAGAGGGUUACACCGAUCUGGAGACAUGAAAAGUUAUAUAUCAAAAAGUACUUGACUGACUGUAUCUUGCACAUACAUGUAUGUUACUUGACAGACUGCACCCUACACAUACAUGUAUUUUCAUUUGAGUUAUGCUUUCUAAUAUACGUAUGUUGUGUAGUCAAACAAUUAGUUUGCUGCUCCUUUGUUUUCAGGAUGUAUUUGUACAUGCUGAUGCAGUCUUAGAGGGAAUUGAUUCUACUUAGUUACUUGUGUGGAGCAGGGAUCAUGCCCAGGAACCCAAUUGCAGAUUGCUGCAAAUGACAGUUGCAAAUGUUAGGUACUUAAGCUACCAUAGGUAGCUGGUGUAUUUCCAGACACGAUCUAUUUAGCUUACAUCAGACAAUUGCUGCACCACAUGUAUUUUUAACAACAGUUGAUUCCAUAUUAUGCCAUCGUUAAUAAUUUCUCCUUUUGUACUUCGUGUUGCCCUAUGUGGCUGUAAACAAUGUAGUGAAGACUAUCCUUUGUCUCAUUUAUCUUUAAAUUAUUUAUUAUCGUUGUAACCAGUUCACUUAGUAAUGACCCGUCUAUGUAUAUUCACUUCU
Lolium rigidum is the source of this 1643-nucleotide long non-coding RNA. RefSeq lists it as uncharacterized. The record is from RefSeq and is a predicted model, not a curated record. Lineage: Eukaryota; Viridiplantae; Streptophyta; Magnoliopsida; Poales; Poaceae. The transcript is spliced from 3 exons.